Molecule: long non-coding RNA, 2377 nt
Organism: Apis mellifera (honey bee)
Lineage: Eukaryota; Metazoa; Arthropoda; Insecta; Hymenoptera; Apidae
Exons: 2
Source: RefSeq, a predicted model, not a curated record
GAGAAGAAUUCAGAAAAGAGAGAUGAGGAGAGGAGUGGAGGAAUAUUGAAAGACGAGAGAUGUUGAGUUAAUACUUUCUUAAGACCAUGUUUUAUUCAACGAUCUUUGGGAAUUCUCGAUUAUAUAUUAAAUCUCGUCGUUUUGAUAAUUAAUCGAUUAAUUUCGCAUUCUUCCAUUCCAAGUUUCUUUUUUUCCUAGAAUAAUCUUACUUUUAUUGCAACGAUGUGUGUAAUAAAACAAGGAGAGUGGAAGAGUGAGGAGGAAAAAAAAAAGAAAUAAAAUAAAAUAAAAAUAACAGAGAAAACAAGGUUUCAUUAUUUAUAUUUCUAAAUAAAUAACGAAUUCGCGUCGAAUUAUAAAAAAUAAUUACAAUUAGUCUUACAUUAAAUUCAGUCUUGUAUCUCUCCAUAAAAUAAGUCUAAAAUAAUAAUUACAAUUUUUAUCUUAACAUUAUUAAUUAAAUUAUGUAUAAAUGGACAUAAUCGUGCUUUACUAAAUAUUAUUUUUCUACCAUUUUCUAAUCAAAAUCACAUUCACAGAAAACUUAUUCAAAGAAUAUAAUUUAUAGAAAUAUUAAUACACAAGUACAUUUAAUUUCUACAUUCUAGAACGAACAUUUUGUCAAUAAUCUCUGAACAAGGCAUGCUGUCUUCAAAGGGCAACUUGUACGAAUUGACCUUCUCGUUCGAUCCCGUGAACCUUUGUGGACGUGGAUGAUGGAUGAGACUACAAAGUUACUAAUCUUUUCUCUUGAGCCUUCUUUUUGCCGUCGAGUCUUCGAAAGUGGAAAAAAUUCCUGAAAAUCGAUAUCCAUGGUUUCAACGACGGCAAGGAAUAGCAGGAAAAUGGCCUCGUCCAUGGUCAAGAUCUAUACCAGAACUGAACGCAUCCGAAUUUCGAAGCUUUCCUUUUAAAGGGAUUUUCUCCCCCUUAUUGGGGACGCUUUCGAGAACCUGAAAGUAAAAUCUUUGACCUGCUACCCUACCUGGAAUUUUAGGAAAGUAAUUAAAGAUAAAAUUAAGAGACAGAAUUAACAAUAGCGGAACAAUAGCUAAUUCUUCUAAAGAAUUUUUUUUCUUUCACAGUGAAAAUUAUUUGGGACAAUUAAUGGAAGAUAAAAAAAAAAAAAACAAAUAAAUAGUUCCACGUCACGUUCUUAAGGAAAUGUGAAAUAUGUAUAUAUAUAUAUAUAAAUAAGUGGAACAGGAAUUUUUUUCGAUUGUUAAGAAACUUUUGUCGAUCAAAGUUACUCGAUCUUUAAGGAUGUCAUUGCCACGUGUCGCCGUCGUUGAGGAUUUCCACGUAAUGAUUAUAUCAGCCGCAAAUUAUGCCUACGCGUUCGAUAUAUAAUGAACACGAUGGCGGAAAAUGUAAAAUGGAAAAAUGAAGAAGUGACAGAGUCACCAAUAAUAGUUAUUUACGAUCAUCGUUCAAUGUCGCCGUUUGUCAAUCUUUCAUACAUUGAUUAUGAACCGUGAAACAAGUGUAUUCGCACAUCGACCGAUAUAGCUUCUUGAGAGAAAUUUGUAAAAAUUAUCGUACGCGAAUUGAUAAGAAAAGUAAAAAGUGCAACUCGUUUUACGCAAGAAUCUCGACAAAUUUGAUGACUGAAUAGCUUUCUUAGCAAAAGGCGUGUAUUUAAAAAAUGGAUUGAAAUAAAUUAAACGAAAGAUUUCGUAAUUCCAUUACUUAACGAUUCCACGUUACGCUUAUCUAAUAGUUUUUUAAUGAACUAAGGUCAAAGAUAUCCACCGAUAGAAAAAAAAAAAAGAAAAGAAAAGAAAAGAAAAGAAAAGAAAAGAAAAGAGAGAAUUUAAAAUUUUAUACGAGUUCUUAUACGUUUUAAUGACGGAAAUAAAAAUAAAUAUUCAAUAAUAUUUAUAUUGCGUAAGAGCGUGAAGUAUGAUAAGCUAGGAUAAUAGAUGGAAACUCCGUGGAAGUCGUAAAAAUAAAUAAAUGAUACUUAAUGUAAAAACAAUUGUCUGUAAUUACGCGCAAAUUAUGAGAAUUCGCGUGCACAGAUAUCAAUAGGAGGAGACAAAUAUACCGGCAUAUUUUUUUUUGAUUUUCACUUCGUUCCUUCGACUAUGUUUAUACGACAAUAUAUCCGGUUCUUUACAUUUACAACAGUUAAUUAUUCCUAUACGUAAAUUAUACUUUAAAAAAGUUUGGAGAAGAAUUGAAUUGUUUUGAAAGAGAAAUAAGUAUAAUUGAAUUUAUUGCAGAUAGAGAUUGUACGAAGAUCAUACGCCUUCGCAUUUAUUCGUAUUCGCUUAUAAAUUAAUAAUAUAAAAAUGUCUUUCUUAUUAGUCGAUAAUUAAAAUACUAUAUCGCAAAUUCGAUUGGAUGCUAUGUAUAAAGAUAGAAAAAAAAAAAA